GUGCCUAUACAUGCAAGUAGAACGCUGAAGAGAGGAGCUUGCUCUUCUUGGAUGAGUUGCGAACGGGUGAGUAACGCGUAGGUAACCUGCCUUGUAGCGGGGGAUAACUAUUGGAAACGAUAGCUAAUACCGCAUAACAAUGGAUGACACAUGUCAUUUAUUUGAAAGGGGCAAUUGCUCCACUACAAGAUGGACCUGCGUUGUAUUAGCUAGUAGGUGAGGUAAUGGCUCACCUAGGCGACGAUACAUAGCCGACCUGAGAGGGUGAUCGGCCACACUGGGACUGAGACACGGCCCAGACUCCUACGGGAGGCAGCAGUAGGGAAUCUUCGGCAAUGGGGGCAACCCUGACCGAGCAACGCCGCGUGAGUGAAGAAGGUUUUCGGAUCGUAAAGCUCUGUUGUAAGUCAAGAACGGGUGUGAGAGUGGAAAGUUCACACUGUGACGGUAGCUUACCAGAAAGGGACGGCUAACUACGUGCCAGCAGCCGCGGUAAUACGUAGGUCCCGAGCGUUGUCCGGAUUUAUUGGGCGUAAAGCGAGCGCAGGCGGUUUGAUAAGUCUGAAGUUAAAGGCUGUGGCUCAACCAUAGUUCGCUUUGGAAACUGUCAAACUUGAGUGCAGAAGGGGAGAGUGGAAUUCCAUGUGUAGCGGUGAAAUGCGUAGAUAUAUGGAGGAACACCGGUGGCGAAAGCGGCUCUCUGGUCUGUAACUGACGCUGAGGCUCGAAAGCGUGGGGAGCGAACAGGAUUAGAUACCCUGGUAGUCCACGCCGUAAACGAUGAGUGCUAGGUGUUGGAUCCUUUCCGGGAUUCAGUGCCGCAGCUAACGCAUUAAGCACUCCGCCUGGGGAGUACGACCGCAAGGUUGAAACUCAAAGGAAUUGACGGGGGCCCGCACAAGCGGUGGAGCAUGUGGUUUAAUUCGAAGCAACGCGAAGAACCUUACCAGGUCUUGACAUCCCGAUGCUAUUUCUAGAGAUAGAAAGUUACUUCGGUACAUCGGUGACAGGUGGUGCAUGGUUGUCGUCAGCUCGUGUCGUGAGAUGUUGGGUUAAGUCCCGCAACGAGCGCAACCCCUAUUGUUAGUUGCCAUCAUUCAGUUGGGCACUCUAGCGAGACUGCCGGUAAUAAACCGGAGGAAGGUGGGGAUGACGUCAAAUCAUCAUGCCCCUUAUGACCUGGGCUACACACGUGCUACAAUGGUUGGUACAACGAGUUGCGAGUCGGUGACGGCGAGCUAAUCUCUUAAAGCCAAUCUCAGUUCGGAUUGUAGGCUGCAACUCGCCUACAUGAAGUCGGAAUCGCUAGUAAUCGCGGAUCAGCACGCCGCGGUGAAUACGUUCCCGGGCCUUGUACACACCGCCCGUCACACCACGAGAGUUUGUAACACCCGAAGUCGGUGAGGUAACCUUUUGGAGCCAGCCGCGUAA
Molecule: ribosomal RNA, 1431 nt
Filed under: Streptococcus thermophilus
Lineage: Bacteria; Bacillati; Bacillota; Bacilli; Lactobacillales; Streptococcaceae
Description: bacterial SSU rRNA
Rfam family: Bacterial small subunit ribosomal RNA
Source: RNAcentral